RNAcentral lists this ribosomal RNA (238 nucleotides) under uncultured bacterium. RNAcentral describes it as "partial 16S ribosomal RNA". It matches the Rfam family "Bacterial small subunit ribosomal RNA", at positions 15 to 244 of the family's 1533-position model. The record is from RNAcentral.
GAUCAUGGCUCAGGAUGAACGCUGGCGGCGUGCCUAACACAUGCAAGUCGAACGGACUUACAUUGAAGCCUAGCGAUAUGUAAGUUAGUGGCGGACGGGUGAGUAACGCGUGGGUAACCUGCCUUGUACUGGGGGGGACAACAGUUGGAAACGACUGCUAAUACCGCAUAAGCGCACAGCUUCGCAUGAAGCAGUGUGAAAAACUCCGGUGGUACAAGAUGGACCCGCGUCUGAUUAG